ACGCUGGCGGCAGGCCUAACACAUGCAAGUCGAGCGGAAACGAGUUAUCUGAACCUUCGGGGGACGAUAACGGCGUCGAGCGGCGGACGGGUGAGUAAUGCCUAGGAAAUUGCCCUGAUGUGGGGGAUAACCAUUGGAAACGAUGGCUAAUACCGCAUAAUGCCUACGGGCCAAAGAGGGGGACCUUCGGGCCUCUCGCGUCAGGAUAUGCCUAGGUGGGAUUAGCUAGUUGGUGAGGUAAUGGCUCACCAAGGCGACGAUCCCUAGCUGGUCUGAGAGGAUGAUCAGCCACACUGGAACUGAGACACGGUCCAGACUCCUACGGGAGGCAGCAGUGGGGAAUAUUGCACAAUGGGCGCAAGCCUGAUGCAGCCAUGCCGCGUGUGUGAAGAAGGCCUUCGGGUUGU
RNAcentral lists this ribosomal RNA (407 nucleotides) under Vibrio harveyi. RNAcentral's name for it is "bacterial SSU rRNA". It matches the Rfam family "Bacterial small subunit ribosomal RNA", at positions 33 to 426 of the family's 1533-position model. Lineage: Bacteria; Pseudomonadati; Pseudomonadota; Gammaproteobacteria; Vibrionales; Vibrionaceae. The record is from RNAcentral.